AUGCUGUGUGAGUUUAUAAAAACUGGAAAAUGCUUAUCCACCUGCAGGAAGGCAGAAGGACGUGGGCGUUCCUCCUCUUGGGCACCAAGCAGGAGCCGGGUUCAUACCCCGCACACGGAGGAGUACCAAGCACCCUUAGGGCUUGGGAGCUUUUCCAGCUCGUCUCUUGNNNNNNNNNNUCUAUCCAUCUUCUCAUGGCAGGCCGAGUUCUACUGUGAAUCCGUUGGUUUUUGGGAUCGCUCUGUGGGGAUUCUCCCUGUUGGAAAGUUCUCUUCCCAAACACUUGAUGUUUCCCAAAAUUGUCUGAAUUUUGGAGGGCUUGGGAGCUUUUCCACCUCAUCCCUUGCUGUGGCCAUGGCUUCACCAUCAGUCCCUUCCAACCGCUUGGCAGAUGCUCUGGUUUUAAACCCUUUCCUGCUGCUUCUGGAUCAUACGCCAGGAACCUGACGGAGGUAUUUGGGCAGAGACACCUUGAUUUCUGACAAAAUUCCCUUCCGUUCCCCCAGGGUGGGCUCUUCCCCCACCCCACCUUCCAAAAGGGGGGAAGGAGUAGGAAAAACGUGCUGGCUGCCUUCACCUUUUUCGAAGAGCAACCCCAGAAAUGCACUUUGUGGGGAAGAGGGGGGAGACAUUGCCUUUGUGCCCCCCUCCCAGGGGUUCGUUUAGGUGGGGUGGGGGAGUGCUGCUCACCCCUCCAGCGCAAGGGGAGGUACAAUUAAUGGCGUGAC
Molecule: long non-coding RNA, 728 nt
Filed under: Calidris pugnax (ruff)
Lineage: Eukaryota; Metazoa; Chordata; Aves; Charadriiformes; Scolopacidae
Description: lncRNA (ENSCPUG00000019736.1)
Source: RNAcentral